RNAcentral lists this ribosomal RNA (479 nucleotides) under uncultured bacterium. RNAcentral's name for it is "partial 16S ribosomal RNA". It matches the Rfam family "Bacterial small subunit ribosomal RNA", at positions 28 to 507 of the family's 1533-position model. The record is from RNAcentral.
GAUGAACGCUGGCGGCGUGCUUAACACAUGCAAGUCGAACGAAGCACUUUAACCUGAUUCUUCGGAUGAAGGUUUUUGUGCCUGAGUGGCGGACGGGUGAGUAACGCGUGGGUAACCUGCCUCAUACAGGGGGAUAACAGUUAGAAAUGACUGCUAAUACCGCAUAAGACCACAGAGCCGCAUGGCUCGGUGGGAAAAACUCCGGUGGUAUGAGAUGGGCCCGCGUCUGAUUAGGUAGUUGGUGGGGUAACGGCCUACCAAGCCAACGAUCAGUAGCCGACCUGAGAGGGUGAGCGGCCACAUUGGGACUGAGACACGGCCCAAACUCCUCCGGGAGGCAGCAGUGGGGAAUAUUGCAAAAUGGGGGAAACCCUGAUGCAGCGACGCCGCGUGAGCGAAGAAGUAUUUCGGUAUGUAAAGCUCUAUCAGCAGGGAAGAAAAUGACGGUACCUGACUAAGAAGCACCGGCUAAAUACGUG